GCGGGUGUAGCUCAGUUGGUUAGAGCGCCGGCCUGUCACGCCGGAGGUCGCGGGUUCGAGCCCCGUCAUCCGCGCCA
Molecule: transfer RNA, 77 nt
Filed under: Armatimonadetes bacterium Uphvl-Ar2
Lineage: Bacteria; Bacillati; Armatimonadota
Also listed under: 2 other names
Description: tRNA-Asp
Rfam family: tRNA
About the family: Transfer RNA (tRNA) molecules are approximately 80 nucleotides in length. Their secondary structure includes four short double-helical elements and three loops (D, anti-codon, and T loops). Further hydrogen bonds mediate the characteristic L-shaped molecular structure. tRNAs have two regions of fundamental functional importance: the anti-codon, which is responsible for specific mRNA codon recognition, and the 3' end, to which the tRNAs corresponding amino acid is attached (by aminoacyl-tRNA synthetases). tRNAs cope with the degeneracy of the genetic code in two manners: having more than one tRNA (with a specific anti-codon) for a particular amino acid; and 'wobble' base-pairing, i.e. permitting non-standard base-pairing at the 3rd anti-codon position.
Source: RNAcentral